UACGGAGGAUGCGAGCGUUAUCCGGAUUUAUUGGGUUUAAAGGGUGCGUAGGCGGGCUUUUAAGUCAGCGGUAAAAAUUCGGGGCUCAACCCCGUCCGGCCGUUGAAACUGGGGGCCUUGAGUGGGCGAGAAGAAGGCGGAAUGCGUGGUGUAGCGGUGAAAUGCAUAGAUAUCACGCAGAACCCCGAUUGCGAAGGCAGCCUUCCGGCGCCCUACUGACACUGAGGCACGAAAGUGCGGGGAUCGAACAGG
Molecule: ribosomal RNA, 252 nt
Filed under: uncultured bacterium
Lineage: Bacteria
Description: partial 16S ribosomal RNA
Rfam family: Bacterial small subunit ribosomal RNA
Source: RNAcentral